CCCUUAGAUGUUCUGGGCGGCCCGCGCACUACAUUGGCACUCUCAAUAAGUUCCUAGAUCUAAAACUUUGGGGUAUUCUAUUAAGUGGUGUCGUGACUGGGAUUAACCCUUGCAAUUAUUGGUUACGAACGAGGAAUUCCUUGUAAUCGCGGUUUAUCAGCCCGCGUUGAAUGCGUCCCUGCCCUUUGUACACACCGCCCGUCGCUCCUACCGAUGAAUCGUCCGGUGAAGUUCAUGGAGUGGUGGUUGUUCCAGCUGCUGUCGAAGUGAAAUGGACCUCACGAUUUAGAGGAAGGGGAAGUCGUAACA
Molecule: ribosomal RNA, 309 nt
Filed under: uncultured eukaryote
Lineage: Eukaryota
Description: partial 18S ribosomal RNA
Rfam family: Eukaryotic small subunit ribosomal RNA
Source: RNAcentral